Long non-coding RNA from Gopherus flavomarginatus (Mexican gopher tortoise), 197 nucleotides. RefSeq lists it as uncharacterized. Lineage: Eukaryota; Metazoa; Chordata; Testudines; Testudinidae. The record is from RefSeq and is a predicted model, not a curated record. The transcript is spliced from 2 exons.
AUACCAAUAUUUGGAAGUCUUUCUUAUAAACAUUUACAGUGAGCUACUCCAGGGGCUUGGCAACCCACCAAGGGAGGUGGAGGUUGAAACGUUGGGGCGCUGUCUGAAGAAUUCCAGGAUUUCAAAACCCUCCGUUUGAAGACCUCACAACAGAAACACGUAACCCUCCUUCCUCCAAAGAAACACUUCGUUAAUUC